This 497-nucleotide ribosomal RNA is filed under the name uncultured bacterium. RNAcentral describes it as "partial 16S ribosomal RNA". It matches the Rfam family "Bacterial small subunit ribosomal RNA", at positions 28 to 507 of the family's 1533-position model. The record is from RNAcentral.
GAUGAACGCUGGCGGCGUGCCUAAUACAUGCAAGUCGAGCGAACGGACGAGGAGCUUGCUCCUCUGAUGUUAGCGGCGGACGGGUGAGUAACACGUGGAUAACCUACCUAUAAGACUGGGAUAACUUCGGGAAACCGGAGCUAAUACCGGAUAAUAUAUUGAACCGCAUGGUUCAAAAGUGAAAGACGGUCUUGCUGUCACUUAUAGAUUGAUCCGCGCUGCACUAGCUAGUUGGUAAGGUAACGGCUUACCAAGGCAACGAUGCAUAGCCGACCUGAGAGGGUGAUCGGCCACACUGGAACUGAGACACGGUCCAGACUCCUACGGGAGGCAGCAGUAGGGAAUCUUCCGCAAUGGGCGAAAGCCUGACGGAGCAACGCCGCGUGAGUGAUGAAGGUCUUCGGAUCGUAAAACUCUGUUAUUAGGGAAGAACAAAUGUGUAAGUAACUGUGCACAUCUUGACGGUACCUAAUCAGAAAGCCACGGCUAACUACGUG